UACCAGCACCCCGAGUGGUCGGGACGAUUAUUGGGCCUAAAGCGUCCGUAGCCGGUCAUGCGAGUCCUCCGUUAAAUCCACCUGCUUAACAGAUGGGCUGCGGAGGAUACUACAAGGCUAGGAGGCGGAAGAGGCAAGCGGUACUCAGUGGGUAGGGGUAAAAUCCUCUGAUCCAUUGAAGACCACCAGUGGCGAAGGCGGCUUGCCAAUACGCGCUCGACGGUGAGGGAUGAAAGCUGGGGGAGCAAACCGG
RNAcentral lists this ribosomal RNA (253 nucleotides) under uncultured bacterium. Its description in RNAcentral is "partial 16S ribosomal RNA". It matches the Rfam family "Archaeal small subunit ribosomal RNA", at positions 474 to 727 of the family's 1478-position model. The record is from RNAcentral.